Molecule: ribosomal RNA, 525 nt
Filed under: uncultured bacterium
Lineage: Bacteria
Description: bacterial SSU rRNA
Rfam family: Bacterial small subunit ribosomal RNA
Source: RNAcentral
AGAGUUUGAUCAUGGCUCAGACUGAACGCUGGCGGCAUGCCUAACACAUGCAAGUCGAACGGCAGCGCGGGUAGCAAUACCUGGCGGCGAGUGGCGGACGGGUGAGGAAUACAUCGGAAUCUACCCUGUCGUGGGGGAUAACCAACCGAAAGGUUGGCUAAUACCGCAUACGACCGAGAGGUGAAAGCGGAGGACCGCAAGGCUUCGCGCGAUUGGAUGAGCCGAUGUCGGGUUAGCUAGUUGGCGGGGUAAGAGCCCACCAAGGCGACGAUCCGUAGCUGGUCUGAGAGGAUGAUCAGCCACACUGGGACUGAGAAACGGCCCAGACUCCUACGGGAGGAAGCAGUGGGGAAUAUUGGACAAUGGGCGCAAGCCUGAUCCAGCAAUGCCGCGUGUGUGAAGAAGGCCUUCGGGUUGUAAAGCACUUUUAUCGGGAGCGAAAAGCGGAAGGCUAAUACCCAUCCGUCAUGACGGUACCCGAUGAAUAAGCACCGGCUAACUUCGUGCCAGCAGCCGCGGUAAUUC